RNAcentral lists this ribosomal RNA (230 nucleotides) under uncultured bacterium. Its description in RNAcentral is "partial 16S ribosomal RNA". It matches the Rfam family "Bacterial small subunit ribosomal RNA", at positions 561 to 791 of the family's 1533-position model. The record is from RNAcentral.
UAAAGCGUGCGCAGGCGGUUAUGUAAGACAGAUGUAGAACGUCCCGGCUACACCGGGAACUGCAUUUGUGACUGCAUGGCUAGAGUACGGUAGAGGGGGAUGGAAUUCCGCGUGUAGCAGUGAAAUGCGUAGAUAUGCGGAGGAACACCGAUGGCGAAGGCAAUCCCCUGGACCUGUACUGACGCUCAUGCACGAAAGCGUGGGGAGCAAACAGGAUUAGAUACCCCAGU